GGCAUGAGUUUUAAAAUAAAAAAUAAAAAAUAGGGAAAUCGAUUUACCAAACUAGGUAAAUCGAUUUGCCCUACGCAGACACCAAAAAUAAGCCUUUUUUUGCACAAAGGAUAUUUGGUUCCCCCCACUUUUCCACUUGCUUUCCCUAUAAAUAUAUGCACUAUUCCCCCUCAUUUUUCAUGCUUUCUAGCCCCCAAAAAUUCUGAAAAAAUAUCAUCCAACCCCUCUUCUCCAAACCUAAAUCAAAACCAAAAAACCUUUCCCUCCCAAAAGUCACCACCAACAACUUUUUUUUUUUCAUUUCACAUUUUUUCCUCAAAAUUUCUCACUCUCUAACACUCAUAACCCAACCCCUUUACUAAGCUUUCACCACAAAUAUUUUCAUUCCAAACCCCUUGCUUCACAUUCAAGCUCAACACCAUUUUUCUACCUAGCUUUUUUUCACAUUUUUGUGGGUAAUGAUUUUAACUUAAACUUUUUAACUUUUUUGUUUCUUUUUUUGAUUAAAAACGGUUGCUUGUUCUUGGUUGGUCUUUUGAGAUGGUUUAGAUUAAAGCUUGCAAAAAAAUGAUUAACUUUGGUUUACUCACCUUUUUUAAAGAUUUUUUACUCUUACUAUCUUUUUUCACCUUUUUGUGGUUGCUUUGUGUGUGUUAUCAUUUUCUUUUAUUAUGGACUUGUUGUUGUAUUUGUUUGGUUGAUGAGGUCUAUUAGAUCAUGACCAUGGUUGUUUAGAGUUGAUUAAAUCUUCAAUGUUU
Molecule: long non-coding RNA, 758 nt
Filed under: Lathyrus oleraceus (garden pea)
Lineage: Eukaryota; Viridiplantae; Streptophyta; Magnoliopsida; Fabales; Fabaceae
Description: Pisum sativum (pea) long non-coding RNA (PSAT_LNC011459)
Source: RNAcentral